AAGACCAGUAACGUGAUGCCUAUGUAUGAAUUCUUCUUCCGAGCGAGGAUGUUCAGCACUCCUUCCCUCCCACCACCAUCCUGGCAAAGGACCGGCACUGGAGUACCCAAAGAGAGGCGUCUCUAAUGGACCAGACAGAGUACAUCCUGUUUCAAGAGAUGUAUUCUGGAAGAGCGUCGAGUCAUGUAGGACCAUACAAGAGAAAAGAAUACAUCUUGUGUCAAGAGAUUUGCUGUGGAAGAAAAUCGAGUCCUGUAGGACCAUCGGAGAGAAAAGGUGAGAAAUUUGCAAUCUUGUUUGUUUUCUUUAUCUUUGAAAGUGACUGAAGUUAUUGGAAAGAUAUAAUGAGAGUCAGAAGACCAAGUAGUAGGCUAAAUGGCAGAGACAGCACCUAAGAUUAGCAAGCUGCUGCCAAUAACUAGUGAUGUU
Aplysia californica (California sea hare) is the source of this 429-nucleotide long non-coding RNA. RefSeq lists it as uncharacterized. NCBI's taxonomy places the organism in Eukaryota, Metazoa, Mollusca, Gastropoda, Aplysiida, Aplysiidae. The transcript is spliced from 3 exons. The record is from RefSeq and is a predicted model, not a curated record.